UUUUUUUUUUUUUUUUUUAGAAAAGGGUCUUGCUAUAUUUUCCAGACUGGUCUAUUCAUACCUGGCCUCACGUAAUUCUCCUGCCUCGGCCACCCAACGUGCUAGGAUUAUAAACGUGAGCCACUGUACUGAGUCACCAGCCUCAAAAUCUAGUGAAAUUUGCUCUGCUAGGUUCAGACCUGCAUAAGAUCCAUGACCCAUUUUUUCUUUCCAACUUCCCCUCUUUUGAACAGGAACGUCUAUCCUAUGCCUGCACCACCAUUGAAUUUUUGAAGCACAAAACUUGUCUGGUUUCAUGCUUCACAACUGAAGAAGAAUUUUGCCUCAGAAUGAGUCAUACUUCACCUCCCUCACGCUUGACUUAGAUGACAUUCAGAUGAGAUUCUGAUUUUGAGUUGAUGCUGGAAUGGGUUAAGAUUACAGGCUCUUAGGAAGGAGCAAAUGUAUUUUGCAUGUUAGAAGGUAAUUAAUUGUGGGAAGCCAGAGGGCAGAAUGUCAUGGUCUGAAUUGAGUCCCCUCCCCAAAUCCGUAUGUUGAAAUCCUAACUCCUAGCACUUCACAAUGUCAGAGUAUUGAAAUAGGAUCUUUGAAAGGUAAAAUGAGGUUGUUAGGGUGGGCCCAAUCCAAUAUGACCAGAGAGCAUCUACAAGCCAAGAAAAGAGGCCUAAGGACAAACCAACUGAGUGACUCCUUGAUCUUGGAAUUUCAGACUCCAGAAGUCUGAGAAAAUAAGUAUCUGCUGUGAAGUUACCCAGACGUAGUGCUCUGCUGUGUCCGCCGAGCAGACAAAGGCAGCAGUCCUUCAGGAGCCUGGCAUGACCACAAGAACCACUCAAACACUCUCAGCAGAUUUAGUGGAGCCUGGCCUGACCACCUCCUCAGUGAGCCCUCAACCCUACUGUGCAUGUCCAUCAGCAGAAACACAGGCCCUCACCUCUAGGCCUGGGUCCCCAGAGCCCACGCACAUGUGCAAGCCCCAGCAAGAUGCCAGUGGCCUCAGACAGUUCUCCUGGACCCUGACAUCUGUCUGUGGAGCUCUCCUUUGGGUCCCUGCCCUAUUCACUCUUGAAGUCCAUAUUCCCAGGCCCUAGAUUAAGUCAUCCAAGUGGGUUCCAUGUGCAUUUGUGGGAUGUAUCACACAGGGGAGUGACUGAAUGAGUCACUUGAGGCAUUGUCUUGAGGCAAUGACAUCAACAAGCAUUGGGAGAGCACAGAACAUAUGGGUUAGGCGGGAGGAGACAGGAAUCACUCAGGUGGCCAUAUGUGGUCUUUACCCCUGAUGGUGAGCGUGGCCGAGGUCCUCUCCUGCCCACACACACACGAGUACUCCCCAGUGUCUGCCACGGACAGGCCACGAAUCUGCAGCUCACAUCUGGUCCCAUCCUGCCUCAGGCUGUAUCUGUCCCCAUCUCUCAGGGUCUCAGACCCCUUCCUCCACUCCACGGGAUCCGCCUUGCUCAGCUCACACUGCAGCACGGCUGUGGCCCCUUCUCUAGCCUCCUGGUUUUUCACAUCUUCUAUGAAUCUGGCAGGCAGGGCUGGGAAAGACCAAGCAGUCAUUGAGAUUAUUAGACCAUCUGGAGGACUCUGUGGACAAGACAUGGACACCCACAAAGAGCCACACAAAACCAUCAAAGAACCACACGUGAAAGAGCAAACAAACGUACACAUGGGAAGGAGGCAAAUGGCCCCAGAGGAACAGAGAACACACAAGCAAAAGGAUAUGAGCAUGAGGAUACCUCCUGGAUAAGAAGGGAGGCGGGAGAUGCCCAGAGGACCCCAGUUAGAGGACAGACAACCAUGGGGUUGCCACAGAACCAUGCCACAUUCGAAGGCAGAAGGUGGUGACACAGAGAUGUGGAGACACUAAGCCAUGGUCCACAUAGCUACACACGAUCUUUACCCCUGACAGUGAGUAUGGCUGAGGUCCUCUCCUGCCCACACACACAUGAGUACUCGCCGGCAUCCACCACAGCCAGGCCACGGAUCUGCAGCUCACACCUGGACCCAUCCUGCUUCAGGCUGUGUCUGUCCCCAUCUCUGAGGCAGUCAUGCCCCUUCCUCCACUCCACCGGGGCCACCUUGCUCAGCUCACACCACAGUAUGGCCGUGGCCCCUUCUGUGGCCUCUUCAUUCCUCAGACCCUCUAUGAACUUGGAAGGCAGGGCUGAAGAGAUCAAAAGACACAGAUAUAAUCAUAUUCUCUGAGCACAUGGAAGAGAUAGGAAUGACAUGGAUGGCACAGACAAGACACAGAACCCAACCAGGCACAGGCUGCAUGGGGGUGUGCUGAGCACAGGCUGUGGACUGGGACUUCUCUUAGUACAGGCUUUACAGCACAUGGCCACGGCCCCUCCUGUGGCCUCCUCACAUCUCAGCCUUUAUAGGAAUCUCUGGCACCAGGCCCAGAGAGGGUCAGAAACACAUGAAGAACAUCAGGGGACAGAAUGUGACAGGAUGGAAGACACAGAAUCCAACGUGACGAUGUUGACAGUCUUCAGAGGCACACAGUGGGAGCCGGCUAGAGAGGCUGCUUCCUCCUGCUUCCUACAACAGCCCUGGAGGCUGGAAGAAGCUUGUGCAGUUACACAGGCAGGCACAGACAUGGGGAGAGAACGCAGCAUGGGCAGAGACAGAUGGCGUCAAGUCAACAUGUGGACACCAGAGCAUGGCGCUGCUUGGCCGCGUGUGGCCUUUACCCCUGACGGUGAGCAUGGCUGAGGUCCUCUCCUUCCCGCACAUGCACAGGUACUCCCCAGCAUCCUCUGCCACCAGGCCGCGGAUCUGCAGCUCACACCUGGCCCCGUCCUGCAUCAGGCUAUGUCUGUCUCCAUCUCGGAGGGUCUCAUGCCCCUUCCACCACUCCACAGGGGCCACCUUGCUCAGCUCACACCGCAGUGUGGCCGUUGCCCCUUCUGUGGCCUCUUCGUUCCUCAGACCCUCUGUGAACUUGAUGGGUAGCGCUGGAGGAGGAUCAGAAUAUAUGAACACAAUCUUGCUCUCUGAGCACAUGGAAGAUACAGAACAUGGAUGGCAAAGAGAAGACACAGAACCCAUUUGGACACAGGCCACAUGUGGGGUGUGCUGAGCACAGGCUGUGGACUGGGGCUUCCCAUGCUCCAGCCUGUCAGCACUGUAGCUGUGACUCCUUCCAUGGCCUCCUGAGUCCUCACACUUUAUGUAACUCCGGCUGCCAGAGCCAGAGUAUGUCAGACACACACAAGGACCAUGAGAGCCUCUGGAGCACUCUGGGGGGAAGGACAGGACAGCGUGAAGGGCAAGGUACAGAAGCCAACAGGACAACAUGAUGGAGCCCAUCCUUGUAGGCACAUGGGGUGGAAGCUGGCUGCAAGGCUGGUUUCUCCUGGUUCCCACAACAGCUCUGGAGGCUGGAGGAGACCCUGCAGAGUGAUGGGAACAGGGUGGUGCAGAUGCAGGGAGAGCACAUGGUGUGAGUACAGACAGACGGCAUGACAUCAAUACAUGGACACCAGAAUAUGGCUCUCCUUGGCCACAUGUGGCCUUUACCCCUGACAGUGAGCAUGGCCGAGGUCCUCUCCUGCCCACACACACACGAGUACUCCCCAGUGUCUACCAUGGACAGGCCACGAAUCUGCAGUUCACAUUUGGUCCCAUCCUGCCUCAGGCUGUAUCUGUCCCCAUCUCUCAGGGUCUCAGACCCCUUCCUCCACUCCACAGGGGCUGCAUUGUUCAGCUCACACUGCAGCAUGACUGUGGUCCCUUCUCUGGCCUCCUGGUUUUUCACAUCUUCUAUGAACCUGGCAGGCAGAGCUGGGAAGGACCAAGCAGUCACUGAGAUCAUCAGACUGUCUGGAAGACUCUGUGGACGGGACAUGGACACCCACAAGGAGCCACACAAACCACCAAAGGACCACACGUGAAGAAGCAAAUAAACAUUCACAUGAGGAGGAAGCAAAUGGCCUGGGAAGAACAGAGAACACAAAGGGAUCAGCAUGAGCAUGAGGACACCCCCUGGACAAGAAGGGUAGGUGGGAGACAACCGGAGGACCUCACUUGGAGAAGAGACAACCCCAGGAUUGCCACAGGGGCUGUGCCACAUUGGAAGAUGAGAAUGACAUGGUGACAUGUAGAUACCAAGCCACGGGUCCACAAGGCCACACAUGAUCUUUACCCCUGAUGGUGAGCGUGGCUGAGGUCCUCUCCUGCCCACACACACACAAGUACUCCCCGGCAUCCGCCAUGGCCAGGCCACAGAUUUGCAGCUCACACCUGGUCCCCUCCUGCCUCAGGAUGUAUCUGUCCCCAUCUCUGAGGUUCUUGGGCCCCUUCCUCCACUCCACAGGGGCCACUUUGCUCAGUUCACACCACAACAUGGCUGUGGCCCCUUCCACAGCCUCUUCAUUCCUCAGACCCUCUGUGAACUUGGCCAGCAGGGCUGGGGGAUCAGAAAGAGAUGGCCACAAUCACACCCUCUGAGCCCACAGAAGAGACAGGACAUGGACAACACAGAGAAGACAGGGAAGCCAUCUGAACAUGGGCCACUCCUGGGGUGUGCUGAGUACAAGGUGUGCACUGCGGCUUCCCACGGUCCAGCCCGUUAGCAUCACGGUGUGGCCCCUUCUGAGGUGUCCUCAGGCCUCAUACUUUCUAUGAACCUGGCUUGUAGGGCUGGAGAGGACACAAAGACCAUGAGGCCCUCU
Long non-coding RNA from Macaca fascicularis (crab-eating macaque), 4682 nucleotides. NCBI's taxonomy places the organism in Eukaryota, Metazoa, Chordata, Mammalia, Primates, Cercopithecidae. The record is from Ensembl.